Molecule: ribosomal RNA, 406 nt
Filed under: uncultured bacterium
Lineage: Bacteria
Description: partial 16S ribosomal RNA
Rfam family: Bacterial small subunit ribosomal RNA
Source: RNAcentral
AUUGAACGCUGGCGGCAGGCCUAACACAUGCAAGUCGAGCGAGUGGCGGACGGGUGAGUAAUGUCUGGGGAACUGCCUGAUGGCGGGGGAUAACUACUGGAAACGGUAGCUAAUACCGCAUACCAUCAGAUGUACCCAUAUGGGAUUAGCUAGUAGGUGGGGUAACGGCUCACCUAGGCGACGAUCCCUAGCUGGUCUGAGAGGAUGACCAGCCACACUGGAACUGAGACACGGCCCAGACUCCUACGGGAGGCAGCAGUGGGGAAUAUUGCACAAUGGGCGCAAGCCUGAUGCAGCCAUGCCGCGUGUGUGAAGAAGGCCUUCGGGUUGUAAAGUACUUUCAGUGGGGAGGCGUUACCCGCAGAAGAAGCACCGGCUAACUCCGUGCCAGCCGCCGCGGUAAUUC